GACGAACGCUGGCGGCGUGCCUAAUACAUGCAAGUAGAACGCUGAAGAGAGGAGCUUGCUCUUCUUGGAUGAGUUGCGAACGGGUGAGUAACGCGUAGGUAACCUGCCUGGUAGCGGGGGAUAACUAUUGGAAACGAUAGCUAAUACCGCAUGAAAUGGAUUAUCGCAUGAUAAUCGAUUGAAAGGUGCAAAUGCAUCACUACCAGAUGGACCUGCGUUGUAUUAGCUAGUUGGUGGGGUAACGGCUCACCAAGGCAACGAUACAUAGCCGACCUGAGAGGGUGAUCGGCCACACUGGGACUGAGACACGGCCCAGACUCCUACGGGAGGCAGCAGUAGGGAAUCUUCGGCAAUGGACGGAAGUCUGACCGAGCAACGCCGCGUGAGUGAAGAAGGUUUUCGGAUCGUAAAGCUCUGUUGUAAGAGAAGAACGAGUGUGAGAGUGGAAAGUUCACACUGUGACGGUAUCUUACCAGAAAGGGACGGCUAACUACGUGUCAGCCGCCGCCGUAA
RNAcentral lists this ribosomal RNA (513 nucleotides) under uncultured bacterium. RNAcentral's name for it is "partial 16S ribosomal RNA". It matches the Rfam family "Bacterial small subunit ribosomal RNA", at positions 28 to 523 of the family's 1533-position model. The record is from RNAcentral.